UGGUUCUGGCGUCGAUGAAGAACGCAGCGAAAUGCGAUACGUAAUGCGAAUUGCAGAAUUCCGUGAGUCAUCGAAUCUUUGAACGCACAUUGCGCCCAUUAGUAUUCUAGCGGGCAUGCCUGUUCGAGCGUCAUUUCAAACUUCAAGCUCUGCUUGGUGUUGAAGCCAGCGAAUUUCGCGACUUCCAAAACUAUUGGCGGAUCUACAACGAUCUAGACUUAGUAAUAUUUCUAGUCUGUGAUCUCUUGUAUCAUCCUGCCUCGAAGUCUUUCCAGUUCUGCUGGAAGAAUUUUAUCAGUUUGACCUCGGAUCAGGUAGGAAUACCCGCUGA
Molecule: unclassified non-coding RNA, 331 nt
Filed under: uncultured fungus
Lineage: Eukaryota; Fungi
Description: partial contains 5.8S ribosomal RNA and internal transcribed spacer 2
Rfam family: 5.8S ribosomal RNA (bases 1-133)
Source: RNAcentral